ACAAACUUGGUCAUUUAGAGGAAGUAAAAGUCGUAACAAGGUAACCGUAGGUGAACCUGCGGUUGGAUCAUUACAGAAAAAAUAUGGUCGUCGGUCAGCCUUCAUUGGCCGCCGACGAUGCAUAUUUCACACCAACCUAUGUGAACGUUUCCUGUAUUUUGGCGGCCGCGUUUGUUGGGUGCGUAAAAGCAGUUUCUUUGACUGGGGGGUUUCCCUGUCUUUGCCUCUUUUCCAUCCAAGGGGGUGCACGAGAGCAGUUUCUUGGGCAGGGGCUUUCCCUGCUUCUUGCCUGCCUGCCAUCCUUGCGGUCGCCAGCCAAUUUGGUCAAACUCCAUUGUUUAAUUCCAUUUCUGUGUGUUUUUGCCUCUUAUGGGGUUUAUUUCAAUAUGAAAACAACUUUUGACAACGGAUCUCUUGGCUCUCGCAUCGAUGAAGAACGCAGC
RNAcentral lists this unclassified non-coding RNA (443 nucleotides) under uncultured fungus. RNAcentral's name for it is "partial contains small subunit ribosomal RNA, internal transcribed spacer 1, and 5.8S ribosomal RNA". The stretch from base 1 to 73 matches the Rfam family "Eukaryotic small subunit ribosomal RNA", at positions 1759 to 1831 of the family's 1831-position model. The record is from RNAcentral. Lineage: Eukaryota; Fungi.